CGGGAAAAGCUCAAAUUUAAAAUCUGGCAGCUUUGGCUGUCCGAGUUGUAAUCUGGAGAAGCGUCUUCCGCGCUGGACCGUGUACAAGUCUCCUGGAACGGAGCGUCAUAGAGGGUGAGAAUCCCGUCUUUGACACGGACUACCAGUGCUUUGUGAUGCGCUCUCAAA
Molecule: ribosomal RNA, 168 nt
Filed under: Polyporales sp.
Lineage: Eukaryota; Fungi; Basidiomycota; Agaricomycetes; Polyporales
Description: partial large subunit ribosomal RNA
Rfam family: Eukaryotic large subunit ribosomal RNA
Source: RNAcentral